Molecule: long non-coding RNA, 973 nt
Filed under: Gossypium barbadense (sea-island cotton)
Lineage: Eukaryota; Viridiplantae; Streptophyta; Magnoliopsida; Malvales; Malvaceae
Description: long non-coding RNA (GBAR_LNC006062)
Source: RNAcentral
CCCCCCCCCCCUUUUCCUUCAGCUGAACCCUAGGUCCUCCCUUCUCAAGCACCAAACCGCCAUCAAGAAUGGCGUCUCGCCCUUCUGGCUUCGACUUACUGCUCUUUGGCCUCAAAACCCCCUUUAGCUUCGAUUUCGACGAAGCAAGAGUGGAUCGACGGCCAAAUCGCACGGUAUAGCCUCUUUUUCUCUCUUUCUUUGCUUUCUAUUAUAAUGAUGAAUGGAUCGAAGGAAAAAUGAACCCUGGAAAUGCAAAAGCUUCAAGAAAGUUGAGUAAAAAUCACCUUUUUCUAUUUGGUUGCUUUCUAUUGCUUGUGUGUAAAAAAAAAAAAAAGACCUUACAAUCGCUGUGUUCUUGGCUUUUAUAGCCGAAACAGAAAAAAGAAUAAAAUAAAUAAAAUUUUUCUCUUUCUUUUUUUUGCUGUUGUUGUGUUUGUCUCAUUCGUUUGCAGGUACGGAGUACGAGGCAUGCGCUAGCCCUUGGAGUGAGGCGUACGAAGGCGCGGGCGUGGCUAAGGCUGCUGGAGCGCUGGAGGCUAGCUGCGGCGCAAGCAUAGGCUAGGGUUUCUGCCUUGGUUUUGGCUUUUGGGCAUUGGGCCUAUUUGUAUUUGGGCUGGUUUUAUCAUUAGGCUUGGUGUAUUGGACCUUUAAACUGGGCAUUUAAUAGACUGUUAACAUUUAGAUUUUUUGUUUAUUUAUUUGGGCUUUAAUGUAGACCCGAGCAAAUUGGCCCGUUUACACUAAGUUUUUCAUAUUUUUUUCUUAAUUUGGUACGACACACUCACACACUUGGAGAAGAUGAUGAAAUAUUUCUGCUCUUUCCAUCCACUAGAAUAUAUAUAUAAGCAAUUAAACAUUGAAUUAUGGUAAUUAAACUUAAUUAACCUUUAAAAGAUUAGCAAUUAAUGUUAUUCAACUAAGUAUAAUGAAUGUAUAAGAUCAUAUUUUACCACUUCAUGAACCAAUAAAGGCC